UUUCCUGUGUACAGUGCUAUUAGCUUAGCAACUAAAUACUUCUAUGUAAAAAUGGAGGGCAAUUCUAAAUAUGUGCCCAUGUUUCAGUGAAUCUUUUGAAAAGAUUUUGGCACCCAGACUUCAAUUGCAUGGUCCUGAUUGUGAUCUGACCCUCAUAUUCCUCUGGUAUACAUAUUGCUACCUUUUUCUAGAGAGAAUCUCAACAUUCUAGAGUGUCCUUGAAGAUACAAGUCCCUCGGGCUUCCCAAGCUACAAGAUUACGCAGCACACCAGUUUGUUUCGAAAUUGACCCUUUUGGAAAGGCUUUUGCACCCAGACUUCAAUUGGAUGACAGAUUGUGAUCUCACUCUCGUUUUCCUCUGCUGUACCACCAGCAUAAAUGAGAGGAGAAUAUAGGCUUCGGUGUAUUGGUCAGAGGUACCCAGCUACCUGCCAAUAAUUUGUGAAAAUCAUGGGCCAAACUGCAAUUUAGGAAAAGAAAA
Mauremys reevesii (Reeves's turtle) is the source of this 482-nucleotide long non-coding RNA. RefSeq lists it as uncharacterized. Lineage: Eukaryota; Metazoa; Chordata; Testudines; Geoemydidae. The record is from RefSeq and is a predicted model, not a curated record. The transcript has 3 exons.